This 466-nucleotide ribosomal RNA is filed under the name uncultured bacterium. RNAcentral describes it as "partial 16S ribosomal RNA". It matches the Rfam family "Bacterial small subunit ribosomal RNA", at positions 339 to 795 of the family's 1533-position model. The record is from RNAcentral.
CUACGGGGUGCAGCAGUCGAGAAUAGUCUACAAUGGACGAAAGUCUGAUAGUGCAACGCCGCGUGGGUGAUGAAGCAUUUCGGUGUGUAAAACCCUUUUCUUUGUGAGCAAUGCCAUUAUGGUUAAUAGCUAUAGUGGAGCGAUAUUAGCAGAGGAAUAAGCCACGGCUAACUCCGUGCCAGCAGCCGCGGUAACACGGGGGUGGCGAGCGUUGUCCGGAAUCACUAGGCGUAAAGGGCAGGUAGGCGGAAUAUCUAGUCAUUUGUUAAAGGCAUUGGCUCAACCAAUGUACGGCAUAUGAUACUGGUAUUCUAGAAUUUGGUAUGGGAAGACGGAAUUCCUGGUGUAGCGGUGGAAUGCGCAGAUAUCAGGAAGAACACCGGAGGCGAAGGCGGUCUUCUGGGCCAAAAUUGACGCUCAACUGCGAAGGUGUGGGUAUCAAACAGGAUUAGAUACCCUUGUAGUC